AUAGUUGACGUGGGACUAAACAUAUGCUUGCAUGGGUCCUCUUGUUUAAGCUCUAGUGUCCUCGUCGGCUUAAGGAUGCAAAUCUAGUCAAAUCCAACUAUAAACGCUACGAUCAACUCGUAGUUAGCUUUAAUGGGCCUGUGCUACAGCCUCUCCUAAUCCAUAUUGGUGUUAGCAUCCCUCAUAUGCCAUGAAAAUUUCGAAAUAAUUUUCAGAUUGCAGCGGAAAA
This 229-nucleotide long non-coding RNA is filed under the name Phoenix dactylifera (date palm). RNAcentral's name for it is "long non-coding RNA (PDAC_LNC005991)". Lineage: Eukaryota; Viridiplantae; Streptophyta; Magnoliopsida; Arecales; Arecaceae. The record is from RNAcentral.